This 473-nucleotide ribosomal RNA is filed under the name Octolasion tyrtaeum. RNAcentral describes it as "partial 16S ribosomal RNA". It matches the Rfam family "Bacterial large subunit ribosomal RNA", at positions 1838 to 2595 of the family's 2925-position model. Lineage: Eukaryota; Metazoa; Annelida; Clitellata; Crassiclitellata; Lumbricidae. The record is from RNAcentral.
CUAAAAUAUGGGAAGUAAUUCCUGCCCAGUGACUCAAUUCAACGGCCGCGGUAUCCUAACCGUGCAAAGGUAGCAUAAUCACUUGCCCAUUAAUUGUGGGCUAGAAUGAAAGGACUAACGAAAUAAAGACUGUCUCUAUAAGCCGCCUAAAAAUUAAUCUCUAACUGAAGAGUGUUAGAUAUCGUCGAAGGACAAGAAGACCCUAUAGAGCUUUAUUUUAACAAAAACUAAAAAUUUUUCAAUAAAAUUCGGUUGGGGCGACCAGGGAAAAUAAAUCAUCCCCCAUAAGCAGAUAAAUAUAUCUAAGUUCUGACCCUUAAAAUAAGAUCAACAAAUCAAGCUACCUUAGGGAUAACAGGCUAAUCCCACUAAAGAGUCCUUAUUAAUAGUGGGGAUUGGCACCUCGAUGUUGGCUUAGGGAAUCUAUGUGGCGCAAAAGUCGCGUAAAGAUGGUUUGUUCAACCAAUAACACC